AUGCACAGCGACAAGAAAAUAACCAGGGAAGACACAUGGAGACCAGCUGACCUGAGAAGACACAUCAGGGAGGACGGAGGUGGUGAUGAGAGAAAGCACCGUGGUGGGGAGUCCACAGAGAGACGCCGCAGAGAAGAGAAAGAUUCCAGGCGAGAGAGAGACAAGCAGAAGGAAAGGGAGAGUACUAGAGAGAGGAGAGAUGAGGAUGAGAGAGACAGACAUGCAGAUCGACGAAAGGAGGGCUCACGGGACAGGAGAGGUGAUAAGGAAAGGGAUAGAAGAGAUGAUAGGGAUAGAGAGAAGAGAAGGGAAAGGGACCGGGUAGUAGACGGAAAGAGGUACGAUGAUGAUUACAAAGAGAACAGAGACAGAAGGCGAGAUAAAGAUGAAAAGCACGAAAGAGAGAGGGAUAAGGAAAGCCACAGAUACAGGGAGAAAGAGAGGGAAAGAGACGGAGAGAGACGCCACGAGGAGGAGAGGGAAAAAAGGAGGGAAGAGCGAGACAGGGAAAGAAGGAGAGAAGAGCGGGAGAGAGAGCACAGGACUGAGAAGGAGAGGAGGAGACAUGAGGUGAGCGGAGAAGGAGAAAGAGAUCGGAUAGAAAGGCACGAAAGGGAGAAGAGAGAGCGACAUAGAGAGAGAGACAGGCGCAAAGACGAAAAUGAAGACAAGAGGAAUGGCAAAGAAAGACGAGAGAGACAUGGAGACAGAAAGAAUUUGGAACUGAUGGAGGAAAGAGGUAAGACCACAAGAAUGUGUAAGCCAAGACUGCCAUGUUUAUAG
RNAcentral lists this long non-coding RNA (783 nucleotides) under Sparus aurata (gilthead seabream). Its description in RNAcentral is "lncRNA (ENSSAUG00010013118.1)". The record is from RNAcentral. Lineage: Eukaryota; Metazoa; Chordata; Actinopteri; Spariformes; Sparidae.